This 495-nucleotide ribosomal RNA is filed under the name uncultured bacterium. RNAcentral's name for it is "partial 16S ribosomal RNA". It matches the Rfam family "Bacterial small subunit ribosomal RNA", at positions 28 to 505 of the family's 1533-position model. The record is from RNAcentral.
GAUGAACGCUGGCGGCGUGCCUAAUACAUGCAAGUCGAGCGAACGGACGAGAAGCUUGCUUCUCUGAUGUUAGCGGCGGACGGGUGAGUAACACGUGGAUAACCUACCUAUAAGACUGGGAUAACUUCGGGAAACCGGAGCUAAUACCGGAUAAUAUUUUGAACCGCAUGGUUCAAAAGUGAAAGACGGUCUUGCUGUCACUUAUAGAUGGAUCCGCGCUGCAUUAGCUAGUUGGUAAGGUAACGGCUUACCAAGGCAACGAUGCAUAGCCGACCUGAGAGGGUGAUCGGCCACACUGGAACUGAGACACGGUCCAGACUCCUACGGGAGGCAGCAGUAGGGAAUCUUCCGAAAUGGGCGAAAGCCUGACGGAGCAACGCCGCGUGAGGGAUGAAGGUCUUCGGAUCGUAAAACUCUGUUAUUAGGGAAGAACAUAUGUGUAAGUAACUGUGCACAUCGUGACGGGACCUAAUCAGAAAGCCACGGCUAACUACG